RNAcentral lists this ribosomal RNA (253 nucleotides) under uncultured bacterium. Its description in RNAcentral is "partial 16S ribosomal RNA". It matches the Rfam family "Bacterial small subunit ribosomal RNA", at positions 524 to 776 of the family's 1533-position model. The record is from RNAcentral.
GACGAACCUUGCUAACGUUAUUCGGAAUUACUGGGCUUAAAGAGUGCGUAGGCGGUUUUCUAAGUUUGGUGUGAAAUCUCCCGGCUUAACUGGGAGGGUGCGCCGAAGACUGGAAGGCUUGAGUAUGGGAGAGGUAAGCGGAAUUCCUGGUGUAGCGGUGAAAUGCGUAGAUAUCAGGAGGAACACCUGCGGUGUAGACGGCUUACUGGACCAUAACUGACGCUGAGGCACGAAAGCGUGGGUAGCAAACAGG